UACGGAGGGUCCGAGCGUUAUCCGGAUUUAUUGGGUUUAAAGGGUGCGUAGGCGGCCUGUUAAGUCAGGGGUGAAGGACGGUAGCUCAACUAUCGCAGUGCCCUUGAUACUGAUGGGCUUGAAUGUACUAGAGGUAGGCGGAAUGUGACAAGUAGCGGUGAAAUGCAUAGAUAUGUCACAGAACACCAAUUGCGAAGGCAGCUUACUAUGGUAUAAUUGACGCUGAGGCACGAAAGCGUGGGGAGCAAACAGG
Molecule: ribosomal RNA, 253 nt
Filed under: uncultured bacterium
Lineage: Bacteria
Description: partial 16S ribosomal RNA
Rfam family: Bacterial small subunit ribosomal RNA
Source: RNAcentral